AGCGAACGCUGGCGGCAGGCCUAACACAUGCAAGUCGGACGGACCCUUCGGGGUUAGUGGCGGACGGGUGAGUAACACGUGGGAACGUGCCUUUAGGUUCGGAAUAGCUCCUGGAAACGGGUGGUAAUGCCGAAUGUGCCCUUCGGGGGAAAGAUUUAUCGCCUUUAGAGCGGCCCGCGUCUGAUUAGCUAGUUGGUGAGGUAACGGCUCACCAAGGCGACGAUCAGUAGCUGGUCUGAGAGGAUGACCAGCCACACUGGGACUGAGACACGGCCCAGACUCCUACGGGAGGCAGCAGUGGGGAAUCUUGCGCAAUGGGCGAAAGCCUGACGCAGCCAUGCCGCGUGAAUGAUGAAGGUCUUAGGAUUGUAAAACUCUUUCACCGGGGACGAUAAUGACGGUACCCGGAGAAGAAGCCCCGGCUAACUUCGUGCCAGCCGCCGCCGUAA
RNAcentral lists this ribosomal RNA (449 nucleotides) under uncultured bacterium. RNAcentral describes it as "partial 16S ribosomal RNA". It matches the Rfam family "Bacterial small subunit ribosomal RNA", at positions 29 to 523 of the family's 1533-position model. The record is from RNAcentral.